This 276-nucleotide ribosomal RNA is filed under the name uncultured bacterium. RNAcentral describes it as "partial 16S ribosomal RNA". It matches the Rfam family "Bacterial small subunit ribosomal RNA", at positions 29 to 334 of the family's 1533-position model. The record is from RNAcentral.
AACGAACGCUGGCGGCAGGCCUAACACAUGCAAGUCGAGCGCACCUUCGGGUGAGCGGCGGACGGGUUAGUAACGCGUGGGAAUAUGCCCAAAGGUACGGAAUAGCCUCUGGAAACGGAGAGUAAUACCGUAUGUGCCCUUCGGGGGAAAGAUUUAUCGCCUUUGGAUUAGCCCGCGUAAGAUUAGAUAGUUGGUGGGGUAAUGGCCUACCAAGUCUACGAUCUUUAGCUGGUUUGAGAGGAUGAUCAGCAACACUGGGACUGAGACACGGCCCAG